Tyto alba (common barn owl) is the source of this 3569-nucleotide long non-coding RNA. RefSeq lists it as uncharacterized. The transcript has 4 exons. NCBI's taxonomy places the organism in Eukaryota, Metazoa, Chordata, Aves, Strigiformes, Tytonidae. The record is from RefSeq and is a predicted model, not a curated record.
GCCUUAUCCCUCCUGGCUUCACUAGGUGGCUCUGCUCCUCUAUUCCUCGUGGCUUUGCCAUGCUAACUGGGAAAGGACGGGCAUAAUGACGUUCAGGCUCCCUAAAUCAUUCUUAACUCCACUGAAUUGAAUCUCCAGCCCAGAUAUUAACUUAUUUUUUGGAAGAAAUAAUUUAUGUCUUCCUGUCCUUUGGCAUGUGGCUUUCUGGAAGACACAGAUGAGGCAUCACAGUAAAUAAGCUCAGUGGUAACAUACAGUUAUAGAAAGCCCUGAAAUAUACAGGACUUUUUUUUCACUUUUUUUUUUUUUUUUUUUUUUUUUAAGUAGCCAAUGAUCUUUCUAGUACUGCUUGCAGUGCUCAUGCUUUAUAGUCCUACUCCUGCUUACAGCCACAUCUAUUCAAUGGCCUGUUCUUAUGCAGCUUUUUACUCAUGAGAUUACAGCAAUAUGCUUGCAGCAGCAGUCCUGUAUAAAGGUAUCCUGUAGCUAGAAGGGAAAAAUAAUGGAUGGGAUCAAAAUGACAGGUCAAAAUAUAUGACCAAAUUUAGAUUUCAACUGCUCUCAGCUACUGGUAUUUGUUUCUCUUGGCCCCAGCUUUCAGUCGUGCUGAGCACCCAGCUCUGCCACUGACAUGAGCUGGAACCAGGAAUAUUCAGCAUCUCUAAAAAUCAGACUUGAUGUGACUUGGGAAGGACCCCAAAACCAAGAAUUAGCUUCCUUACCUUGAAGCUGUGGGUGAAGCAUAGUGGAGGAUCCUGUCAUGGGGAUGCACCCCCAAGUGAACAUGUCUCCACUGUGCAGGGGCUGAAGGAAAUUUGGGACAUUUAGGCUCAAAACCCACACAGCCUGUUUACUCCUAACGUGCCCGGGGAUGAGUCUGGCUGCCGGAGCCCUGCAGAGCCUUGCAGCUGAUCCUCUUCCCUUUGGAGCCAGAGCACAAGCCAUGGACUCCAGACAGGAUCUCUUGAGCUUUUGCAAACGUAGUGCCAGACCAAUAAAACAAGAAUAACUUGGAUUUAUUUAUUCUCUAAACAAAAGUGGCUUGUUUUUUUUAAAAGCAAAUACAAUUUAUUUUAUAUCCCCAGCUAAGCCCUCCUACCCCCCGCCCCCCUUUGCAGGUAUACCCACGCACCUUAAUCUACAAUCAGCUGCCAAAAAGAAGAUCCACUUACCACUUUUCUUCACAUGUAUUGCUCUUAUCAGUUAAAAAAAUAAUAGUAAAUAUUCUCUGUAGACAGCAACAUCUAAGGUUCAGAUCUAUCAAAGGCAAUAGCCAGAAUAAUGGAUAGACAAGGGCUGGUCCACACACCUCUUGUGUCUGAUUCUGUCAUGGCUUUGUCUCAUUUCUCUGGAACUACUUGUAUUUUAACCUUUCUUGAUUAAUAAUAUUCAGGAAUGGAAAGACUCGGAUGAGAUAGCUGUACUGCACCUGACAGACUUGGCAUGGGGCUUUUUGCCAAUCGUGUAAUUACAACCUUCAAGGCAGCAUGAGCAAGUUCUUAAAUUUUACAAAGGCUCUUAUGCUUCUGUACUUCAAAGAAACAUUUUAAGUAUUUCUUUCAAAGGCACUGAUGUUAGUUUUUCUUUUCUGAUGAGGAAUAGCGCACAGAGGUGGAAAAGAGAAAUUUCCUCUUGGGAGAACCAUUUGCAUUCUAAUCAUUGCUGCUUUAUCUUGUAGCAUGAAACUCAAGAAGUGCGAUACUCCACAAAUAGAAGUCAAAGUGCCCAGUCUCCUUUCACUAGCAGAACAAGACAGAUUACUACUUGCUCAGUAGCUGACAGAUAAAAAGUUAAUGGUAUAAAGCACAAACCAGGUGAUACAUGAAAAUGAAGCAACAGCACAAAUAGCAAAAAAUCAAGGUUGUCCUUCCAGAUGCGGAUUGUGAGACAAGUUGCCAUGGCCAGCCAGCCCAGAAUGACAAAAUUCAGAUGGAAAUACAAAUCUCAGUCCAUGCCUCCAUCACCUCCAGGCUUUGGCCCCUGAGGGAUGUGAGCUGUGCUGAUUUACUCCAUCCGAGGAUCUGUCCCAGAGCAUGUCUGUGGGUGUGAGCGCAGGACAGCAGGAGCCCGAGGAUGUCCCUGCCAUGCCGGUCCCCUGGGCACUGUUUAACAACAUUGAUUAACCAGAUGCUUUCGGUGGUUGCCUGUACACCAGCCUUUUGGCUAAAAUUCACUGGAAACCACUUGAAUCUAAAAUAAAGACAUUACACGAGCAUGUUAAAUGAAAAAAAAGAAAAAAGCUAGAAAUCAAUUUCCAUUAGUAAGCUGUCUGCAAGGGAUGGGAAAUGAAACACUAAUUUACUUCAGUUAUGGGUCAUUACCUGAAUUUCAUGGCCAGAGGCAGAAUUGCUGGUUCCUAGCAGAAUGCAAUAUUACUGUUAUAACAUAGAACCAAUGAGAUCUUCUGUUUUAUUGGGCUCAGAAGGAAAUUAUUUUUUGUGGGAGGAGAAAGAAGGAAAAAACCGGCGUAAAGGGACCGAUUUUCAGCUAGCAUAAAUCAAUGCAGUGGUGUGUUUAUAUAGUGUAAUUGCCACUUUGAAAUAACAGAUGCAGCACACAUUAAUCAAGCGGUAGCCACCUGCAUAUUCUUUCAGAGUCUGUUGCUAUUUGCGAUUGGAAACUUCUGUCGUGCAGUGAUGCAGCUCCUCUGUGUGACUGACCGGUUUCCGUUGCAGCCAGCCACUUCUGCGCUGAGGUGGUCAUCAUGCAGCUUGCUGGGCAGCAUUGCCUUCACCAGGCUCCGGCCACUUUGUCAGAAAGCAAGCAGUUCAACAGUUUUUAGUUAGUAGUAUUUCCUACCCUGGGCUUGAGCACAAAACCAGGAUUACUGGUUUGCUUGGCAUAUAGCAGUUGUCUUCCUAGGCUGGUUUAGAGUCCAACGGGCUGGAAGAAUGGAAGACUAAGGGUCAAAUCACAAGGAUCUCAGUAAAUCUGUGAAGCUGGGGAUGGUGCUGCGUAACUGGGGAAUAGCAGAUGCAAAGAAGAAAAAAAAAUAGCAGGGGCAAUUACAAGCCUAAAAGUGAUGUAUCAGCCCUACAUGCGCUUUAGGGCAAAGGAAGGAACAAAUGAAGACAUGGAGGUACCUGGAAAAAUGGGACAAUGUGUAACAGAUUUGCCUGAAGUGGAUCACAGCAGGCUGGAUGCCACUGCCUGGGCAGAUGUCUGUUCCCUAAGCAAGAAGAUGUGGUACACCUUGCUUGUCUGGCCUGAAUAGCAUCUGUUAUGGUGUUUAUUAGGUGAUGACGCUGGCAGAGGGCAGUAGGGCUGCUGGGCAGAAGAGACCACGAGAGGCAACGCAGAAGGACAAGGAUCAGGUUUGGGAAGAGUCUUUGAUGGCACCAACCAGGGAUCCAGGAUGAUUUUAAAUACAGUAUGAGGAGGUGCACAGACACACCGAGACAAGCGUGUGUGCGUGCCUCAGGCUUCCCCUUCUGUGUGUGAGCACAUGCCACGGGAGGGAACAGUCUUGCAAUAAACCGGAAAGACUUUCUGUAGCACAAUACUGGUUUUCCUCUGUUACCACAGAUUUAUGUCUCAAUAUUUCUGGGUUGAAUCAUUUUACAGUAAUA